Carassius auratus (goldfish) is the source of this 2082-nucleotide long non-coding RNA. RefSeq lists it as uncharacterized. The record is from RefSeq and is a predicted model, not a curated record. Lineage: Eukaryota; Metazoa; Chordata; Actinopteri; Cypriniformes; Cyprinidae. The transcript has 2 exons.
CUAAAAUGGAGUCAGAUUAAAUAAUAAAAUGGAGUCAGAUUUGAGUUUAACCUAAAAUGAAUAACUCUACGCGCUGAAAGACAGAACACGCAGGAAACCUUCAUCCAGCACCGGAUACCUUCCUUGGGCUGAGUGUCUGGACCUUACAAAGUGGUGACCCCGCCGACGUGAUCUCCCUAAUUAUGCGAGUGACGUCUUUCCAGCGCUAAUUUCAAAUUGAUUCUCUCUGAAGAUAUAAGGUUUGAGCUUCUUCCCUGUCUACAACUGCUGUGGUUGACCACUGCAAUUCUUUGGAGGACAGAUACCAGGAGGGUGUCUUGUCCCCUCUGCACCAAGCCAGGACAACAGAAUUGUUACAUAACCUGAAAUGCGGGAGAUGAAUGUGAAGACACUUGAAGGGGCCAUUCACACCUCACAGGAGAACAUCACCACACAAAUAUCUACAUGGCCUCCCGGAUUAGAACCGGAACUAAAUUUUUGCAACACAGAUUGCUAUAGAUAAGACUCCAUUCAUCUCCCAGACAUGACCAUAGAACACACAUCUCACCCAUUGCAUCAUCACCUCACCUAGACUAUCCAGUCUGUACACUACAAUCAGUAGACAAUGAUGGCUUAGAUCACAAACGUGAUACUCCACUAAAGAUCUAUUGUCCAUCAUCACACUGACAGAACCACAUAGCCUCACACACACAGGACAAUAGAAUUAAUUACAUUCCCAAAAGAUAUAAAAUAUCUACUAUCUGCAACUGUCUAAAAAACUAGUGGAACAACACUGUAACACAUUUGUACGACAAGUCACAUAUCGAUGGUGCAAAUUUUUUAACACAGAGGCAGACAAGCCUUUACAAUUUAAAAUUUUGAAUCUUUCAGAUUGUUAUUGGGGUGGUUGACAAGCCAGAGGGCCCCUUGUUUCCCAACACAUUACUAAUGACAAUAAACAUUAUUAAAAUGAUCAAAUAUGAAGUGCCUGCACUUCAUCUCUAUCAAUCAAUUAUAAAAUUAAACAUUUUACCUAACCAUCAACUGUGACUUAGCCUUUAUAUCUUUACAUCAGAUACCCAUUCUCACACACACACACACACACACACACACACACACACACACACACACACACACACACACACACACACACACACACACAAACACACACACCUGUUACAAGGAAUUUAGGAUUUACAUUGUAGAAAAAUGUUUUAAUCAUGUUCUAAGUCACUUCUUAAAAACCUUAGAUCAUCUAAAGUGGCUUGCAAUAGAAGAUUCCUGAAUUAACAGUGUGAUAUACCUUCAUAAUUAUGAUUGAAUGUUCCUAUUGUCAUUAUAUGACUUGUUUAUUGAUUGCAUACCUCUAAAUUUAUGCUCAAGUUACUGACCUCUUGCUGCAUUUCCUUUGAGUCAUUCAUACCAAAAUUUGUUUACAUGGGACCACUUUUAACAUCAGAUGUACCACUUGCACUGGCUGACAUGAAUUCAUCAGGUUUCUUUUUUGUUUUAUUGCUCUUAUGUUAAUUUAUGACCUUUUUAUCUUACUCCAUGGGUGAUGACAUUAAGCUGAUCCGAAUUCAGUCAUUGAAUGGCCACUAAGAUGCUUUUCAGGUGUCCCACACAAAUCGGUGUGUAAGCAAGGAGGACACCUUCAUCUACUGAAGCCCACCGCUGGAGGAGAGAGGAUUCACGAAGAUGGGUCAGACUACCGUCCUAGAGAAGGUGCCAUAAGGAGCAGAGGUUUCUCCACAAAGGAAGGACACGUUAACUGAACAAGUCGUAAAGGCUCAGAUUGACCCACUGAACUUUGCUCACAUGCUGAGCUCAACCACAGGUAGAAACCCUGGAGAUAUUCAUCCACUUGCCAAACUCAAGCGACACACACAUGCUGAGACAGAGUGUUCUGCAGAUGAAUACAGCCCUCAGAAGGUUUCUAAAGCUGCUUACAUCACAAAGACAAUUUUGAGAUAACAUCUCGAAGAUAAACAAUCAUCUAACGGUGACCCCAUUGGAUUCAUCUGAAUGUGACCCAUUGGGGGUCAAACGGAGGAACUGUAAGGACGAAAGAACCUGAGAUACUUUGAUCUCCUGAGAAACAGA